GAUGAACGCUGGCGGCGUGUCUAAUACAUGCAAGUCGAGCGAACAGACGAGGAGCUUGCUCCUCUGACGUUAGCGGCGGACGGGUGAGUAACACGUGGAUAACCUACCUAUAAGACUGGGAUAACUUCGGGAAACCGGAGCUAAUACCGGAUAAUAUAUUGAACCGCAUGGUUCAAUAGUGAAAGACGGUUUUGCUGUCACUUAUAGAUGGAUCCGCGCCGCAUUAGCUAGUUGGUAAGGUAACGGCUUACCAAGGCAACGAUGCGUAGCCGACCUGAGAGGGUGAUCGGCCACACGGGAACUGAGACACGGUCCAGACUCCUACGGGAGGCAGCAGUAGGGAAUCUUCCGCAAUGGGCGAAAGCCUGACGGAGCAACGCCGCGUGAGUGAUGAAGGUCUUCGGAUCGUAAAACUCUGUUAUUAGGGAAGAACAAAUGUGUAAGUAACUAUGCACGUCUUGACGGUACCUAAUCAGAAAGCCACGGCUAACUACGUG
Molecule: ribosomal RNA, 497 nt
Filed under: uncultured bacterium
Lineage: Bacteria
Description: partial 16S ribosomal RNA
Rfam family: Bacterial small subunit ribosomal RNA
Source: RNAcentral